CCCAUCUGCUGCAGUCUUUGAGACUUUAUGAAGAUCUGAGAAAAGGAAAAAAAGUGGAUAAAGAGUGUGCACUUCUGUUGGGGCAAUGACUCCGGGGCGGAAGAGGCUGAAAGAAAGGACCAAUGCAGGGAGGAAAAGAAAUUGCCCAACUCCUUCCAGGGAAUGUAGAUGAAAACAUAUAGACACAAUUGGGAGAAAAUUUGGGGCAG
This 209-nucleotide long non-coding RNA is filed under the name Homo sapiens (human). RNAcentral describes it as "HSALNT0075218". Lineage: Eukaryota; Metazoa; Chordata; Mammalia; Primates; Hominidae. The record is from RNAcentral.